This 845-nucleotide ribosomal RNA is filed under the name Escherichia coli. Its description in RNAcentral is "partial 23S ribosomal RNA". It matches the Rfam family "Bacterial large subunit ribosomal RNA", at positions 1 to 888 of the family's 2925-position model. Lineage: Bacteria; Pseudomonadati; Pseudomonadota; Gammaproteobacteria; Enterobacterales; Enterobacteriaceae. The record is from RNAcentral.
GGUUAAGCGACUAAGCGUACACGGUGGAUGCCCUGGCAGUCAGAGGCGAUGAAGGACGUGCUAAUCUGCGAUAAGCGUCGGUAAGGUGAUAUGAACCGUUAUAACCGGCGAUUUCCGAAUGGGGAAACCCAGUGUGUUUCGACACACUAUCAUUAACUGAAUCCAUAGGUUAAUGAGGCGAACCGGGGGAACUGAAACAUCUAAGUACCCCGAGGAAAAGAAAUCAACCGAGAUUCCCCCAGUAGCGGCGAGCGAACGGGGAGGAGCCCAGAGCCUGAAUCAGUGUGUGUGUUAGUGGAAGCGUCUGGAAAGGCGCGCGAUACAGGGUGACAGCCCCGUACACAAAAAUGCACAUGCUGUGAGCUCGAUGAGUAGGGCGGGACACGUGGUAUCCUGUCUGAAUAUGGGGGGACCAUCCUCCAAGGCUAAAUACUCCUGACUGACCGAUAGUGAACCAGUACCGUGAGGGAAAGGCGAAAAGAACCCCGGCGAGGGGAGUGAAAAAGAACCUGAAACCGUGUACGUACAAGCAGUGGGAGCACGCUUAGGCGUGUGACUGCGUACCUUUUGUAUAAUGGGUCAGCGACUUAUAUUCUGUAGCAAGGUUAACCGAAUAGGGGAGCCGAAGGGAAACCGAGUCUUAACUGGGCGUUAAGUUGCAGGGUAUAGACCCGAAACCCGGUGAUCUAGCCAUGGGCAGGUUGAAGGUUGGGUAACACUAACUGGAGGACCGAACCGACUAAUGUUGAAAAAUUAGCGGAUGACUUGUGGCUGGGGGUGAAAGGCCAAUCAAACCGGGAGAUAGCUGGUUCUCCCCGAAAGCUAUUUAGGUAGCGCCUCGUGAA